This 1444-nucleotide ribosomal RNA is filed under the name uncultured bacterium. Its description in RNAcentral is "partial 16S ribosomal RNA". It matches the Rfam family "Bacterial small subunit ribosomal RNA". The record is from RNAcentral.
GAUGAACGCUGGCUGUGUGCCUAAUACAUGCAUGUCGAGCGAGGUUCUUUUGAACCUAGCGGCGAAUGGGUGAGUAACACGUACUUAAUCUACCCUUUAGAUUGGAAUACCCAAUGGAAACAUUGGCUAAUGCCGGAUACGCAUGAAAUCGCAUGAUUUCAAUGUGAAAGGAGCCCUUAAAGCUCCACUAAAGGAUGAGGGUGCGGAACAUUAGUUAGUUGGUAGGGUAAUGGCCUACCAAGACUAUGAUGUUUAGCCGGGUCGAGAGACUGAACGGCCACAUUGGGACUGAGAUACGGCCCAAACUCCUACGGGAGGCAGCAGUAGGGAAUAUUCCACAAUGAGCGAAAGCUUGAUGGAGCGACACAGCGUGCACGAUGAAGGUCUUCGGAUUGUAAAGUGCUGUUAUAGGGAAAGAACACUUGGUUGAGGAAAUGCUUCCAAGCUGACGGUACCCUGUCAGAAAGCGAUGGCUAACUAUGUGCCAGCAGCCGCGGUAAUACAUAGGUCGCAAGCGUUAUCCGGAAUUAUUGGGCGUAAAGCGUUCGUAGGCUGUUUAUUAAGUCUGGAGUCAAAUACCAGGGCUCAACCCUGGCUCGCUUUGGAUACUGGUAAACUAGAGUUAGAUAGAGGUAAGCGGAAUUCCAUGUGAAGCGGUGAAAUGCGUAGAUAUAUGGAAGAACACCAAAGGCGAAGGCAGCUUACUGGGUCUAUACUGACGCUGAGGGACGAAAGCGUGGGGAGCAAACAGGAUUAGAUACCCUGGUAGUCCACGCCGUAAACGAUGAUCAUUAGUCGGUGGAGAAUUCACUGACGCAGCUAACGCAUUAAAUGAUCCGCCUGAGUAGUAUGCUCGCAAGAGUGAAACUUAAAGGAAUUGACGGGGACCCGCACAAGCGGUGGAGCAUGUGGUUUAAUUUGAAGAUACGCGGAGAACCUUACCCACUCUUGACAUCCUUCGCAAUGCUAUAGAGAUAUAGCGGAGGUUAACGGAGUGACAGAUGGUGCAUGGUUGUCGUCAGCUCGUGUCGUGAGAUGUUUGGUCAAGUCCUGCAACGAGCGCAACCCCUAUCUUUAGUUACUAACGAGUCAUGUCGAGGACUCUAGAGAUACUGCCUGGGUAACUGGGAGGAAGGUGGGGAUGACGUCAAAUCAUCAUGCCUCUUACGAGUGGGGCAACACACGUGCUACAAUGGUCGGUACAAAGAGAAGCAAUAUGGCGACAUGGAGCAAAUCUCAAAAAGCCGAUCUCAGUUCGGAUUGGAGUCUGCAAUUCGACUCCAUGAAGUCGGAAUCGCUAGUAAUCGCAGAUCAGCUACGCUGCGGUGAAUACGUUCUCGGGUCUUGUACACACCGCCCGUCACACCAUGGGAGCUGGUAAUACCCAAAGUCGGUUAGCUAACCUCGGAGGCGACCGCCUAAGGUAGGACUGGUGACUGGGGUG